RNAcentral lists this ribosomal RNA (283 nucleotides) under uncultured bacterium. RNAcentral describes it as "partial 16S ribosomal RNA". It matches the Rfam family "Bacterial small subunit ribosomal RNA", at positions 338 to 618 of the family's 1533-position model. The record is from RNAcentral.
CCUACGGGACGCAGCAGUGAGGAAUAUUGGUCAAUGGCCGCAGGGCUGAACCAGCCAAGUCGCGUGAGGGAUGACGGUCCUAUGGAUUGUAAACCUCUUUUGUCAGGGAGCAAAGGGCGCCACGUGUGGCGUUUUGCGAGUACCUGAAGAAAAAGCAUCGGCGAACUCCGUGCCAGCAGCCGCGGGAAUACGGAGGAUGCGAGAGUUAUCCGGAUAUAUUGGGGGUAAAGGGGGCGUAGGCGGAAUAUCAAGUGAGCGGGAAAAAUUCGGGGCUCAAAACCGU